AAGAGAAAUAAGUUUAAUAAAGGAGCUGCUAACUACCUUUUAAAGCGGUUAAAUUCCGUUUAUCUCUUA
Molecule: transfer RNA, 69 nt
Filed under: Urochela caudata
Lineage: Eukaryota; Metazoa; Arthropoda; Insecta; Hemiptera; Urostylididae
Description: tRNA-Ser
Source: RNAcentral